GGGGCUGUAGCUCAGCUGGGAGAGCACAGCGUUCGCAAUGCUGAGGCCGUGGGUUCGAUCCCCAUCAGCUCCA
RNAcentral lists this transfer RNA (73 nucleotides) under Fidelibacterota bacterium. RNAcentral describes it as "tRNA-Ala". It matches the Rfam family "tRNA". From Rfam's summary of the family: Transfer RNA (tRNA) molecules are approximately 80 nucleotides in length. Their secondary structure includes four short double-helical elements and three loops (D, anti-codon, and T loops). Lineage: Bacteria; Pseudomonadati; Fidelibacterota. The record is from RNAcentral.